UGAACGCUGGCGGCGUGCCUAAUACAUGCAAGUCGAGCGAACAGAUGAGGAGCUUGCUCCUCUGACGUUAGCGGCGGACGGGUGAGUAACACGUGGAUAACCUACCUAUAAGACUGGGAUAACUUCGGGAAACCGGAGCUAAUACCGGAUAAUAUAUUGAACCGCAUGGUUCAAUAGUGAAAGACGGUUUUGCUGUCACUUAUAGAUGGAUCCGCGCCGCAUUAGCUAGUUGGUAAGGUAACGGCUUACCAAGGCAACGAUGCGUAGCCGACCUGAGAGGGUGAUCGGCCACACUGGAACUGAGACACGGUCCAGACUCCUACGGGAGGCAGCAGUAAGGAAUCUUCCGCAAAGGGCGAAAGCUUGACGGAGCAACGCCGCGUGAGUGAUGAAGGUCUUCGGAUCGUAAAACUCUGUUAUUAGGGAAGAACAAAUGUGUAAGUAACUAUGCACGUCUUGACGGUACCUAAUCAGAAAGCCACGGCUAACUACGUG
This 495-nucleotide ribosomal RNA is filed under the name uncultured bacterium. Its description in RNAcentral is "partial 16S ribosomal RNA". It matches the Rfam family "Bacterial small subunit ribosomal RNA", at positions 30 to 507 of the family's 1533-position model. The record is from RNAcentral.